AACCCAUGGUGAGGGCAUGUUCUUAAGAGGGCCUUGUAUCUCUCCCAUGUAUUGUAGAGUGUUUCUAAAACCAUCUGCACAAAGGAAGAAAUAUCAUUACGUAAUUU
RNAcentral lists this small nucleolar RNA (107 nucleotides) under Gossypium hirsutum (cotton). RNAcentral describes it as "Plant small nucleolar RNA R71". It matches the Rfam family "Plant small nucleolar RNA R71". Rfam says of the family: R71 is a member of the C/D box family of snoRNAs containing the C (UGAUGA) and D (CUGA) box motifs. Multiple nearly identical copies of this snoRNA have been identified in Arabidopsis, and it is thought to function as a 2'-O-ribose methylation guide for 18S ribosomal RNA. Lineage: Eukaryota; Viridiplantae; Streptophyta; Magnoliopsida; Malvales; Malvaceae. The record is from Rfam by way of RNAcentral.